UCUAGGAUAGCUCAGUUGGUAGAGCAUGAGACUCAGAGUUGUGGGUUCAAGCCCCAUAUUCAGCAAAAGAU
Non-coding RNA from Podarcis lilfordi (Lilford's wall lizard), 71 nucleotides. Lineage: Eukaryota; Metazoa; Chordata; Lepidosauria; Squamata; Lacertidae. The record is from the annotation of a GenBank genome assembly.